This 918-nucleotide ribosomal RNA is filed under the name uncultured bacterium. RNAcentral's name for it is "bacterial SSU rRNA". It matches the Rfam family "Bacterial small subunit ribosomal RNA", at positions 33 to 920 of the family's 1533-position model. The record is from RNAcentral.
ACGCUGGCGGCGUGCUUAACACAUGCAAGUCGAACGAAGAGCGAUGGAAGCUUGCUUCUAUCAAUCUUAGUGGCGAACGGGUGAGUAACGCGUAAUCAACCUGCCCUUCAGAGGGGGACAACAGUUGGAAACGACUGCUAAUACCGCAUACGAUCUGACCUCGGCAUCGAGGAUAGAUGAAAGGUGGCCUCUAUUUAUAAGCUAUCACUGAAGGAGGGGAUUGCGUCUGAUUAGCUAGUUGGAGGGGUAACGGCCCACCAAGGCGAUGAUCAGUAGCCGGUCUGAGAGGAUGAACGGCCACAUUGGGACCGAGACACGGCCCAGACUCCUACGGGAGGCAGCAGUGGGGAAUCUUCCGCAAUGGACGAAAGUCUGACGGAGCAACGCCGCGUGAGUGAUGACGGCCUUCGGGUUGUAAAGCUCUGUUAAUCGGGACGAAAGGCCUUCUUGCGAAUAGUUAGAAGGAUUGACGGUACCGGAAUAGAAAGCCACGGCUAACUACGUGCCAGCAGCCGCGGUAAUACGUAGGUGGCAAGCGUUGUCCGGAAUUAUUGGGCGUAAAGCGCGCGCAGGCGGAUUGGUCAGUCUGUCUUAAAAGUUCGGGGCUUAACCCCGUGAUGGGAUGGAAACUGCCAAUCUAGAGUAUCGGAGAGGAAAGUGGAAUUCCUAGUGUAGCGGUGAAAUGCGUAGAUAUUAGGAAGAACACCAGUGGCGAAGGCGACUUUCUGGACGAAAACUGACGCUGAGGCGCGAAAGCCAGGGGAGCGAACGGGAUUAGAUACCCCGGUAGUCCUGGCCGUAAACGAUGGGUACUAGGUGUAGGAGGUAUCGACCCCUUCUGUGCCGGAGUUAACGCAAUAAGUACCCCGCCUGGGGAGUACGACCGCAAGGUUGAAACUCAAAGGAAUUGACCGGGGG